RNAcentral lists this transfer RNA (77 nucleotides) under Rhodofomes roseus. RNAcentral describes it as "Fomitopsis rosea tRNA-Met". The record is from RNAcentral. Lineage: Eukaryota; Fungi; Basidiomycota; Agaricomycetes; Polyporales; Fomitopsidaceae.
AGCAACUUGACGCAGUGGAAGCGUGCAGGGCUCAUAGAGGCACCCUGAAGUCCCUGGAUCGAAACCAGGAGUUGCUA